RNAcentral lists this ribosomal RNA (1220 nucleotides) under Brevibacillus brevis. RNAcentral's name for it is "bacterial LSU rRNA". It matches the Rfam family "Bacterial large subunit ribosomal RNA", at positions 1 to 1215 of the family's 2925-position model. Lineage: Bacteria; Bacillati; Bacillota; Bacilli; Caryophanales; Paenibacillaceae. The record is from RNAcentral.
GUGGUUAAGUUACUAAGGGCACACGGUGGAUGCCUUGGCGCUAGGAGCCGAAGAAGGACGCAGCGAACUGCGAUAAGCCUCGGGGAGCGGUAAGCACGCUUUGAUCCGGGGAUCUCCGAAUGGGGAAACCCACCAUCUGUAAUGGGAUGGUAUCCAUCACUGAAUACAUAGGUGAUGAGAAGGCAGACCCGGUGAACUGAAACAUCUAAGUAGCCGGAGGAAGAGAAAACAAUAGUGAUUCCGUCAGUAGUGGCGAGCGAACGCGGAAGAGCCUAAACCGUCGGGUUUACCCGGCGGGGUUGUGGGGCGUCUCACAUGGAGUUACAAAAGACGCGCGUAGGUGAACAGCUUGGGAAAGCUGACCAUAGAGCGUGAUAGUCGCGUACCCUAAACGCGCGUCUCUCCGAGACCAACCCCGAGUAGCGCGGGACACGUGAAAUCCCGUGUGAAUCUGGCAGGACCAUCUGCUAAGGCUAAAUACUACCUAGCGACCGAUAGUGAACCAGUACCGUGAGGGAAAGGUGAAAAGCACCCCGGGAGGGGAGUGAAAUAGUACCUGAAACCGUGUGCUUACAAAUAGUCGGAGCCCGUUAAAAGGGUGACGGCGUGCCUUUUGUAGAAUGAACCGGCGAGUUACGGUAGCGUGCGAGGUUAAGUUGAAGAGACGGAGCCGCAGCGAAAGCGAGUCUGAAUAGGGCGAUAGUACGCUGCCGUAGACCCGAAACCGUGUGAUCUAGCCAUGUCCAGGGUGAAGGUAGGGUAACACCUACUGGAGGCCCGAACCCACGCACGUUGAAAAGUGCGGGGAUGAGGUGUGGCUAGCGGUGAAAUUCCAAUCGAACUCGGAGAUAGCUGGUUCUCCCCGAAAUAGCUUUAGGGCUAGCCUCGGAAUUUAGAGUCUUGGAGGUAGAGCACUGAUUGGACUAGGGGCCCUCAUCGGGUUACCGAAUUCAGUCAAACUCCGAAUGCCAAUGACUUAUGUCCGGGAGUCAGACGGUGAGUGCUAAGAUCCAUCGUCAAAAGGGAAACAGCCCAGACCAUCAGCUAAGGUCCCCAAGUAUACGUUAAGUGGGAAACGAUGUGGAGUUGCCCAGACAACCAGGAUGUUGGCUUAGAAGCAGCCACCAUUUAAAGAGUGCGUAAUAGCUCACUGGUCGAGUGACUCUGCGCGGAAAAUGUAACGGGGCUAAACGUAUCACCGAAGCUAUGGCAGUCCUUAC